This 897-nucleotide ribosomal RNA is filed under the name Triticum aestivum (bread wheat). Its description in RNAcentral is "partial small subunit ribosomal RNA". Lineage: Eukaryota; Viridiplantae; Streptophyta; Magnoliopsida; Poales; Poaceae. The record is from RNAcentral.
AUGACUGAAAAAGCGGUGUGGGAUGAUCCAAAUCUUAAGAAACUCAUAGAUAUAUUCAAAGAAGAGGUUGAAAAUGGGAAUAGACCCAUAAGUUAUUUAAAUAAGAAAAGUUGGAAGAAUGUUUUGGAGAAAUGGGAAGCAAGAACGGGAAAGAAGUAUCCCAAGGAUAAAUUCAAGAACAAAUGGGAUGCAAUAAAAAGUGACUAUACUUUUUUCAUGGAUUUGAAUGAAGCAACCGGGUUUGGAUGGGAUGAUGCAAAGAGAACCGUUGUUUGCUCUAAAGAAUGGUGGGAUGAACAUGUUGCGAGAUGCCAGGAGAGCACAUGAAAUAAAUGCAAUCAUUUGAAGUUCAAAUGGCAGGGACCGAAGCAUCUUGAAGAUUUACACGUCAUUUUUCACAAUGUACAUGUCACAGGGGCUAGUGCUUCUUGUGCUGGAGAUAUAUCAUCUGAUGAAUCAAGUGAUGAUAAUGUGGUUCUUUUGGAGAAACCCGAUGAUAGUGAUGAAAUGAAGUUGGCAUCUUUGAAGAAACCAAAAACAACCAAGAAGUGCAAGCAACCUUCGAUCAAAAACGAGGAGAAGGAAGAGAAGAGUCCUUUCCUCCGAUUGUACAACUAGACAUGCAAGAAGAUAGAAAGUGGAGUGGAGAAGAUAACCUCUAGUGUUGAAGCAUCAUCUGCUCCUUUUGCAACCAACCUUGUCCCUACAAUUUCGGAGGUCAUGAAGUUGGUGAAAUAUUGUGGUGUUAAAGGAAAAAUUGUUCUCAUGCACACAACCCUAACUCUUAUAGUGAAGCCUUACUUUAGGGAAAUCUUCAAUGUUCUUGAAACAAAAGAAGGGAGGUUUGAUUUUCUGGAGAGGGAGCAUGAGAAGGAGAUGUUGAAGCACGUCUUGUGA